UCCGUAGGUGGAUCAAUCAGUCAGAGGUGAAAUCCUGCAGCUUAACUGUAGAACUGCCUUUGAUACUGUUGAUCUUGAGUCAUUAUGAAGUGGUUAGAAUGUGUAGUGUAGCGGUGAAAUGCAUAGAUAUUACACAGAAUACCGAUUGCGAAGGCAGAUCACUAAUAAUGUACUGACACUGAGGGACGAAAGCGUGGGGGACUAACAGGAUUAGAUACCCUGGUAGUCC
RNAcentral lists this ribosomal RNA (229 nucleotides) under uncultured bacterium. Its description in RNAcentral is "partial 16S ribosomal RNA". It matches the Rfam family "Bacterial small subunit ribosomal RNA", at positions 568 to 796 of the family's 1533-position model. The record is from RNAcentral.